RNAcentral lists this transfer RNA (75 nucleotides) under bacterium. RNAcentral describes it as "tRNA-Arg". It matches the Rfam family "tRNA". From Rfam's summary of the family: Transfer RNA (tRNA) molecules are approximately 80 nucleotides in length. Their secondary structure includes four short double-helical elements and three loops (D, anti-codon, and T loops). The record is from RNAcentral.
CUGAUCGUGGUGAAAUGGAGAUCACAGUAGCCUUCUAAGAUUCUAUUCCGGGUUCGAAUCCUGGCGGUCAGGCCA